CAGGGGUUAUUUUACAUAAAAUGCUGGUUUUGGAGACCAGUGACGGGAAAUCAUUGUCCUACUCCUGA
RNAcentral lists this transfer RNA (68 nucleotides) under Xyleus modestus. Its description in RNAcentral is "tRNA-Pro". Lineage: Eukaryota; Metazoa; Arthropoda; Insecta; Orthoptera; Romaleidae. The record is from RNAcentral.